This 504-nucleotide ribosomal RNA is filed under the name Micryletta dissimulans. Its description in RNAcentral is "partial large subunit ribosomal RNA". It matches the Rfam family "Bacterial large subunit ribosomal RNA", at positions 1856 to 2571 of the family's 2925-position model. Lineage: Eukaryota; Metazoa; Chordata; Amphibia; Anura; Microhylidae. The record is from RNAcentral.
AGCCUGCCCAGUGACAAAGUUAAACGGCCGCGGUACCCUAACCGUGCGAAGGUAGCGCAAUCACUUGUUCUUUAAAUGAGGACUAGUAUGAAUGGCAUCACGAGGGUUACACUGUCUCCCCCAUCUAAUCAGUGAAACUGAUCUCCCCGUGAAGAAGCGGGGAUAAAACUAUAAGACGAGAAGACCCCAUGGAGCUUUAAACUCAGUACCAACUGCCCUAUAAUACAUCAUAGUAAAUUAGCAGGUGUGGCCACUAGUUUUCGGUUGGGGUGACCGCGGAGCAAAACAAAACCUCCACGAUGAAUGGGCCUCAUACCCUUAUCUAAGAGCUACUGCUCUAAGAAUCAAAAAAUUGACAAAAAUUGAUCCAAGUUACUCUUGAUCAACGAACCAAGUUACCCUGGGGAUAACAGCGCAAUCCAUUUCAAGAGCCCCUAUCGACAAAUGGGUUUACGACCUCGAUGUUGGAUCAGGGUAUCCCAGUGGUGCAGCCGCUACUAAAGG